AUUGAACGCUGGCGGCAUGCUUUACACAUGCAAGUCGAACGGCAGCACGAGUGCUUGCACUUGGUGGCGAGUGGCGGACGGGUGAGUAAUACAUCGGAACGUGUCCUGAAGUGGGGGAUAACGCAUCGAAAGAUGUGCUAAUACCGCAUAAUCUCUGAGGAGGAAAGUAGGGGAUCGAAAGACCUUAUGCUUUUGGAGCGGCCGAUGUCUGAUUAGCUAGUUGGCGGGGUAACGGCCCACCAAGGCGACGAUCCGUAGCUGGUCUGAGAGGACGAUCAGCCACACUGGAACUGAGACACGGUCCAGACUCCUACGGGUGGCAG
Molecule: ribosomal RNA, 323 nt
Filed under: uncultured Pseudomonadota bacterium
Lineage: Bacteria; Pseudomonadati; Pseudomonadota
Description: bacterial SSU rRNA
Rfam family: Bacterial small subunit ribosomal RNA
Source: RNAcentral